AGUGAAUGUAAACGUGUCUUUUUAUUUAUUGUCGUAAUAUCUUUCUUAUUUCUCACAGCGCCUGUGGUCGAUCUGCUUACGGCUGUGAAGGUCUUGUCUGGCUCUACAGUUGAGAUUGCAGCGGCUUCUGUUGGCGAGAAAAGUCUGGUGAAUGCUGUCCAACAAAUACAGGAAGACAGGGAAGCACUGAACUCCUCAGAGGAGGUGGUAAAACCAGAGAUCCUAGAAGCGCCCGCAGAGUCCUUCGCUGAGACAGCAGCGGCUGUGGACGAGGAGGAGGCAGAGUCUGCAGAGGCUGCUGCUGAUGAUGAACUCUCUGACGAUGAGGAAGUGGUCGCAGAGGAGGCCCCUGCUCCUGCUCCAGCAGAGGAGGCAUUCACAGCUUCCCCUCAGGCAGUAGAUGAGGUGGUGGAGGAGGCGGUUGAGGAUCCAGUUCUGAACCCCGACGCACCUCCUAAAGAAGCCUUUUUUGUUAUUGAGGCCUCGCCUGAAGACGCUUCACCAGCCGAGCAAGUCACCAUCGCAGCCGAAGCCCCUCCAGCGGAUGGCGCCUCGGGAGCCCAGUCGUCAGAGGAAGCUUUGGGAGAGGAGGCGCCUGAAGCUGCCUCCACACAGGCGCACGUGACUCAGCUGGCAGCAGCCUCCACCGCGUCAGAGCCGCACGUCCUUUCAGCUGCCGAGCCAGAGUCAGACGCUCCAGGCCACCGGGCCGAGCACUGCCACUCCUGCCACUCUGCUCCAUCAGCAGAGGAGGCAGCGCCACCUACUGAUGCAGGACAGGAGCCCAUCAGUGAGGGAGGUGUGGAUACGACACAUGAAGUCAAGGAGGUGGCGUCCCCGGUGACGAAAACUUCAGAGAAUAUGAUGGUGACAUCCGAGUCCUGACAUGACAGACAGUGUGCCUUCCACAACACUUGCUUCUCUGUCAAUAUAACCAGUGAAAACAUCAGCACAAGUCACAGGUCAAAUGAUGUAAUGUGGCUUUCUUGAAAUAGACAUUUGUAAACAUUCUCCUUGUGAAUCUGGUUUAGGUUUUGUAAACUAAAUCUCCUUUGUCCUGUAGGUGCAACAGUCGCAAAACCAGUUCAUGUUUAAAUGUACCGGUAGCCAAGUAAUAUCUGCAAAAUCUUAUUGUACACUUUCUCAAGCAUUGUACUCUAUUUACCUACAUACAUUAGCAUAUAUGACAUCAUAUAAAGGGAUAUUUUUGAUGUUUGUGCUACAGUAUAGUGUAUUAGCAGGCCUGACAUAAGGUGAUACUUAUUCAAAAGUCAUAUAAUGUAUUACUAGCACAAAAGAUAACAAACAGUAAAAAUAUUGCACACAUGUGUUUCUGUAGAUUGCACAAACUUUAAUUUUGCAUAAUACAUUUUCAGUUUUGAGUCUUAUUGCAUAUUAAUACAGAUAAUAAUGCUGAAUAGUAAUUACAAUGUGGAAAUGAUCACUAUAAUCAAUACACUGUAUCAAACAAUAGAUAUAUCAGCUUUUAUUUUGUUUAUUGUGAUGUGAAUGUGUCUUUGCUAUUAUGAUAAUGUGUUCAUGUAAACAAAUAAAGUGAUGUGUAAACAACA
This 1571-nucleotide long non-coding RNA is filed under the name Betta splendens (Siamese fighting fish). RNAcentral's name for it is "lncRNA (ENSBSLG00000018119.1)". The record is from RNAcentral. Lineage: Eukaryota; Metazoa; Chordata; Actinopteri; Anabantiformes; Osphronemidae.